Erinaceus europaeus (western European hedgehog) is the source of this 1014-nucleotide long non-coding RNA. RefSeq lists it as uncharacterized. The transcript has 2 exons. NCBI's taxonomy places the organism in Eukaryota, Metazoa, Chordata, Mammalia, Eulipotyphla, Erinaceidae. The record is from RefSeq and is a predicted model, not a curated record.
GGAGUGCCUCAUUUCUAAUUUGAGUUUUUGCAUGAUGAUAGAGAGAGAGAGACAGAGACACAGAGAGACAGAGAGACAGAGAAUCUAGGAGACUGUAUAGACAUGGGCAGACAUACUGAGAAACUAAUAGGAAAUUGGAAUUGGGAGACCAAACUCUAAGAGGAAACAGAUGAGAGGACAGAAAUGAGGGGAAGGAGGUGACAGGACAGUGGGAACACCCAGGUCCUGUGGACAGAGGCAGGAUGGAGAUGCCAGACACCACCUGUCACAGGGCUCAUGUGGAGGCAGGAGGCAUGCCCAGGCCCAGUCACAAACAGGCAGAGUCUCAGAAUAAAAUGGGCUGGGAUCAGAAUAUCUGCAUCCAGUCUUCCCUAAGGUGCUGAGGAACUGUGUGCUGCUUGUGCCCAGGACCUGGAAGCCACCCAUCAGCAUGUCUAGCCAGCAGAGCCAGAAGCAGUGUCAGCCCCCUCCCAAGUCUACCCCUAAGUGUCCCCCCAAGUGCCCCCCAGUGUCCUCCUGCUGCAGCUCUGGGGGUGGGGGCUGCUGUAGCUCUGGGGGUGGGGGCUGCUGUAGCUCUGGGGGUGGGGGCUGCUGCCUGAGCCACCACAGGCCCCGCAGGUCCCACCCCCACAGGCAGAGCUCUGGCUGCUGCAGCCAUUCCUCACGGGGCUCCAGCUGCUGUGGAGGGGGGAGCACUCAGUCCUCUGGAGGCUGCUGCUGAAAGACACCUGGGGGCAAGAAAAGUACAAAGUGGGCCUCUAUCUGCCCAGGAUGUCACUUGUCAUCUACUCUGCCCUUGGGGCCUGAGAUGACCCAGAGGAGACACUCAGCCGUGAAGACAGCAGAUACUCUUGGAGUCAAACUCAGAUCCUCUCUUGAAACCCCAUUCACUAGUUUGGCUCUCAUCUUUGGUGUACCCUCACUUUAAAAUUCAGUAAUCAAAGUCCUCCACCUUGUCUUUUUGUAUUAAUUCUGAUGCCUAGAAACACACAAUAAAACAAGUGAUUUACUGAG